GUGCUCACUUCGGCAGCACAUAUACUAAAUUGGAAUGAUACAGAGAAGAUUAGCAUGGCCCCUGUGCAAGGAUGACAAGUAAAUUUGUGCAGUGUUCUAUACUAAA
Dipodomys ordii (Ord's kangaroo rat) is the source of this 106-nucleotide small nuclear RNA. The record is from Ensembl. NCBI's taxonomy places the organism in Eukaryota, Metazoa, Chordata, Mammalia, Rodentia, Heteromyidae.